CAAUAGCGUAUAUUAAAGUUGUUGCAGUUAAAAGGCUCGUAGUUGGAUUUCUGGUCGGAAGCUCCUGUCCUCUGAUGAGCGUACAAGUGCGUCCUACCAUCCUUCUGUUAACCUUUAAGGCUUUCGCGGCUUUCUAGGGGCUCAGAUAUUUUACCUUGAGAAAAUUAGAGUGUUUCAGGCAGGCUAGCGCCGGAAUACAUUAGCAUGGAAUAAUGGAAUAGGACUUUUGCCUCUUCUGUUGGUCAUGAGGCUCGAGUAAUGAUUAAUAGGGAUAGUUGGGGGCAUUAGUACUUAACUGUCAGAGGUGAAAUUCUCGGAUUUGUUAAAGACUAACUUAUGCGAAAGCAUUUGCCAAGGAUGUUUUCAUUAA
This 370-nucleotide ribosomal RNA is filed under the name uncultured eukaryote. RNAcentral describes it as "partial 18S ribosomal RNA". It matches the Rfam family "Eukaryotic small subunit ribosomal RNA", at positions 592 to 976 of the family's 1831-position model. The record is from RNAcentral.